Molecule: unclassified non-coding RNA, 176 nt
Filed under: uncultured Xylariaceae
Lineage: Eukaryota; Fungi; Ascomycota; Sordariomycetes; Xylariales; Xylariaceae
Description: sequence contains ITS1
Source: RNAcentral
UAGAGUUUACAAAACUCCCAACCCAUGUGGACAUACCUCAAGUUGCCUCGGCAGGUCGCGCCUACCUGGUACCCUACCUACCCGGUAGGAUCUACCCUGUAAGCACGGUGAAGCCUGCCGGUGGAAAACCAAACUCUGUUUAUUAUUGAAUUCUGAACCUAUAACUAAAUAAGUUA